GAUGCACCCAGCAUCGGAUAGAGACCACACACCCAGUACCAGCUCAUCGAAUCGCUCCAGUUAUAAUUCCAGUUACAGAAUCAAACCCCUGUGGAGUACGAUUCGUCAUCUAAACGUAAAAAGGACAUAGACACAGCUUUGGCGCAGUUAGUGACUGAAAGUUUUCACCCGUUCAAUAUUGUUAAUGACAAUGCAUUUCGUAAAUUCGUAAAGGUGUUGGAUACAAGUGUUGGCCACAAAAUAAUCAACGAUAUAACGAAUCAUACGGCAAGAAACAUUGCAGAUUCUUUACAUGAAGUUUUAAUGGAAUGGUCGGUUUUUAAUAA
Molecule: long non-coding RNA, 326 nt
Organism: Rhagoletis zephyria (snowberry fruit fly)
Lineage: Eukaryota; Metazoa; Arthropoda; Insecta; Diptera; Tephritidae
Source: RefSeq, a predicted model, not a curated record